RNAcentral lists this ribosomal RNA (253 nucleotides) under uncultured bacterium. RNAcentral describes it as "partial 16S ribosomal RNA". It matches the Rfam family "Bacterial small subunit ribosomal RNA", at positions 524 to 776 of the family's 1533-position model. The record is from RNAcentral.
UACGUAGGGUCCAAGCGUUAUCCGGAAUCACUGGGCGUAAAGCGUGCGUAGGUGGCGCGUUAAGUGUGGUGUUAAAUCGUGGGGCUCAACCCUAUCGGUGCAUCGCAUACUGGCGUGCUAGAGGACAGCAGAGGCAAGUGGAAUUUGUAGUGUAGCGGUGAAAUGCGCAGAUAUCAGGAAGAACACCCGUGGCGAAAGCGGCUCUCUGGAACGGUACUGACGCUGAGACGCGAAAGCGUGGGGAGCGAACAGG